GUGGGGAAUAUUGGGCAAUGGGGGAAACCCUGACCCAGCGACGCCGCGUGAGGGAAGAAGGCCUUAGGGUCGUAAACCUCUGUUGUGUGGGAAGAAGAGCGUGACGGUACCACACGAGGAAGUCCCGGCUAACUACGUGCCAGCAGCCGCGGUAAUACGUAGGGGACGAGCGUUGUCCGGAUUUACUGGGCGUAAAGGGCGCGUAGGCGGUCAUUUAAGUCAGCUGUGAAAUGGUUUGGCUUAACCGGAUCAUGCGGUUGAAACUGGAUGACUGGAGUGCUGGAGAGGCAAGUGGAAUUCCCAGUGUAGCGGUGAAAUGCGUAGAUAUUGGGAAGAACACCGGUGGCGAAGGCGACUUGCUGGCCAGCAACUGACGCUGAGGCGCGAAAGCCAGGGGAGCAAACAGGAUUAGAAACCCCAGUAGUCC
This 427-nucleotide ribosomal RNA is filed under the name uncultured bacterium. RNAcentral describes it as "partial 16S ribosomal RNA". It matches the Rfam family "Bacterial small subunit ribosomal RNA", at positions 354 to 796 of the family's 1533-position model. The record is from RNAcentral.